This 72-nucleotide transfer RNA is filed under the name Breviceps adspersus (bushveld rain frog). RNAcentral's name for it is "tRNA-Gln". It matches the Rfam family "tRNA". Rfam says of the family: Transfer RNA (tRNA) molecules are approximately 80 nucleotides in length. Their secondary structure includes four short double-helical elements and three loops (D, anti-codon, and T loops). Further hydrogen bonds mediate the characteristic L-shaped molecular structure. tRNAs have two regions of fundamental functional importance: the anti-codon, which is responsible for specific mRNA codon recognition, and the 3' end, to which the tRNAs corresponding amino acid is attached (by aminoacyl-tRNA synthetases). tRNAs cope with the degeneracy of the genetic code in two manners: having more than one tRNA (with a specific anti-codon) for a particular amino acid; and 'wobble' base-pairing, i.e. permitting non-standard base-pairing at the 3rd anti-codon position. The record is from RNAcentral. Lineage: Eukaryota; Metazoa; Chordata; Amphibia; Anura; Brevicipitidae.
UAGAAAAUAGCAUAGUGGGGAGUGCGGGGGGUUUUGAUUCCUCAAGUGUGGGUUCGAGUCCCAUUUUUCUAA